AAUAUGGGUCAAUGGGCGGAAGCCUGAACCAGCCAUCCCGCGUGCAGGAAGACGGCCUUAUGGGUUGUAAACUGCUUUUGUACAAGAAGAAAGGUACCUACGUGUAGGUAUUUGACGGUACUGUACGAAUAAGCACCGGCUAACUCCGUGCCAGCAGCCGCGGUAAUACGGAGGGUGCAAGCGUUAUCCGGAUUUAUUGGGUUUAAAGGGUCCGUAGGCGGAUUAAUAAGUCAGAGGUGAAAUCCUGCAGCUUAACUGUAGAAUUGCCUUUGAUACUGUUAGUCUUGAAUUAGGGUGCAGUGGUUGGAAUGUGUAGUGUAGCGGUGAAAUGCAUAGAUAUUACACAGAACACCGAUUGCGAAGGCAGAUCACUAACCCUAUAUUGACGCUGAGGGACGAAAGCGUGGGGAGCGAACAGG
Molecule: ribosomal RNA, 419 nt
Filed under: uncultured bacterium
Lineage: Bacteria
Description: partial 16S ribosomal RNA
Rfam family: Bacterial small subunit ribosomal RNA
Source: RNAcentral